RNAcentral lists this long non-coding RNA (216 nucleotides) under Elaeis guineensis (African oil palm). RNAcentral's name for it is "long non-coding RNA (EGUI_LNC048398)". The record is from RNAcentral. Lineage: Eukaryota; Viridiplantae; Streptophyta; Magnoliopsida; Arecales; Arecaceae.
CCCCCAUAAUAUGGCACGAUCUGUCACGCCCGAUUUGCCACAUUUGGGCACAUCAUCUCUAUAAAAUUAUCAAUAAAAUUAGUAGAUAAAAAAUUUAAUUUAAGAAUAAAUGAUUAAGUCAUUAAACUCUAAAAAAAAGUUUAGAUAUAUAAUCUGAUAUGUCAGAUCUUCGUAAUGCCGGCAUAUGGUAGUCCAAUCAUCCAUAGUGAUGCUGUC